Pholiota conissans is the source of this 87-nucleotide non-coding RNA. The record is from the annotation of a GenBank genome assembly. Lineage: Eukaryota; Fungi; Basidiomycota; Agaricomycetes; Agaricales; Strophariaceae.
GGACCCCUAGCUCAGUGGUAGAGCGUGAGAUUCCAGCUACGCAUGAGUGAUUCCUCAAGGUCAUCCGUUCAAUCCGGGUGGGGUUCA